CCUACGGGGGGCUGUAGUGGGGGAUAUUGCACAAUGGGGGAAACCCUGAUGCAGCGACGCCGCGUGUGGGAAGACGGUCCUCUGGAUUGUAAACCACUGUCCCCAGGGACGAAGAUGACGGUACCUGGGGAGGAAGCUCCGGCUAACUACGUGCCAGCAGCCGCGGUAAUACGGAGGGUGCAAGCGGUGUCCGGAAUUACUGGGGGAAAAGGGAGCGUAGGCGGGAUGGCAAGUUGGGUGUUAAAUCUACCGGCAAAACUGGUAGUCUCACUCAAAACUGCUAUUCUUGAGUGAAGUAGAGGCAGGCGGAAUUCCUAGUGUAGCGGUGAAAUGCGUAGAUAUUAGGAGGAACACCAGUGGCGAAGGCGGCCUGCUGGGCUUUUACUGACGCUGAGGCUCGAAAGUGUGGGGAGCAAACAGGAUUAGAUACCCCUGUAGUC
Molecule: ribosomal RNA, 440 nt
Filed under: uncultured bacterium
Lineage: Bacteria
Description: partial 16S ribosomal RNA
Rfam family: Bacterial small subunit ribosomal RNA
Source: RNAcentral